CAGAUACUCCCUCCAUCCUAAAAUUCUUGUCUUAGAUUUGUCUAGAUAUGAAUGUAUCNNNUCACGUUUUAGUAUUUAGAUAUAUUCGUUUCUAGAGAAACCUAAGAAAGGAAUUUUGGGACGGAGGGAGUAGUUU
This is a non-coding RNA of Hordeum vulgare subsp. vulgare (domesticated barley), 136 nucleotides long. Lineage: Eukaryota; Viridiplantae; Streptophyta; Magnoliopsida; Poales; Poaceae. The record is from Rfam.